This is a long non-coding RNA of Callithrix jacchus (white-tufted-ear marmoset), 3316 nucleotides long. The record is from Ensembl. Lineage: Eukaryota; Metazoa; Chordata; Mammalia; Primates; Cebidae.
GGCGCGGAUCCGGGGCCAAACCCUCCAGGGCUGCGCUGCAGACAGCGACGGCCAGAGGCGGAUACAGUCGGGUUUAGGGACCGCAGGAGCGAAUUCCCGGAGGCCUGCAGGAGCCGCCCCGCGCCGCGUCCAGCCUUUCUCUCUGGGCCUAGCGGGUCUCCCCCAGGCGCGCCCCUCCCUCCCCACAGGCGCACUUUCUCCACCUGCAUCUGGGGCGAGGCGCGGCUGGGAGCGAAGCACAAGUGGGCUGGGCGAGGUUUGGGGUUCGAGGAUUGCAGAGUGACCGCGGGGUCUGGGGAAGAGUUGUCUUGGUGGCGCCACCAGAGCCCGACCCGCCGCGGCCGGGACCCUGCAGGGCAGGUAGCGACCUGCGGAGAAGCCGCCUGGCGCGGCCGACUCGGCUGCCGGGGCGUGGGCCUGGGCCGGGCGCAGGAGCAGCGGGGAUGCUGGGUGCGCUCCGAGGGUGCGGCCUCCCGGCUGUGCGGGGCUCAGAGCCGGGUGCUGGGCGCGGGGCCUGGCAAAGAAAUCGUUCGACACAGCCGGAAUCCCAGGAAAAUCUACCUUUCUGGAGACUGCAGCUCCUGUGAUAGCUCAACAGACUUCAGUUCCUCACAAAUAUUGCUCUCUACGGUUUCCCCCAAAACACUUCAGGAAAUACAGUGUCCUGUCUUCACAAAUGCUUCUGGCACCUGCUCUUGUUGUUACCUGGAAUCCUGGUUACGUCUGGAACUGCAUUGAACACAGUGCUCUCCAUCUUUACCAGCCCCGCCGAUGUGUCCCCAGCACUGUGCGAACUCGCUCCACCCCUCCUGGAACUCCUCAGGUAAUGGGCAUGGAGGUCUUCCCUUACCUUCAGUUGCUCCUUAUCUCGCGUGUUUUCUCUUUAUUUAUGGUCUCGUAACUGGACCUACGAGCAGGUCUUAAGGGGAAAACACGAAACGUACCACUUUUUAAUCAUAAUUUGCCAUCACUUUCUACAUGCACCUCACUCAUAAUUACCCCGAGCAAAUUAAUCGUUUCUAAUCAAAUUCUUGCAGGUGGGCACUUGCACACAUAAUAUUUCAGGAUUGCUUGAAUGAAUAUGAGGCAUGAAAGAGAAGUUAAGGAAGUUACAUCCACGUAAUUAUUUCUACUGUAUGGUUAGAUCUAAUUACUUUAGAAUAAUUAUGCUAGACCAGUGGACUCUAACUGGGGACGUUUUGUCCUCAAGGGAACAGGGAGAAAUGUCUGAAAACAUUUUUGGUUGUCACCCUGGGGCAUGACUGGUAUGUCAUGAGCAGAGGCCAGGAGAGAGACUAAGCAUCUUACAAUGCAUAAGACAGCUUCCCUUACCAAAAAUAAUUAUCUGGUCUAAAAUGUGACUAGUGCCCACAUUGGGAAACACUGUCCUAGAAGAAAGAGUUUGAGGCUUUUGUAAUUAAUGAAAUGAACCAAGUAGGAGCUGUAACCAACCAAAUAAUUUUCAUUGGCUAGAGGCAGAGUGUUUCAUUUCUUCCGGAGAAGAGCUUUCCACUUAAGGAUGUAUUUUAUACAUUUCAUGUUUACAAGAGCCAGAAAAUCCUUUCUAUUGAAUUUCUACCCAGCUGAAAAGUAUUAGAGGGACCCCAGCAUUACAAGAAUUUGAAUUUAAUUCAGUCUGCCGUUCCACUUGGUGCUAAUCAUAAUUCCCUCAAUAAAUUCUCAAGCUUUCUGGGGCUGCAGGCACCAUUUAAAUUUGUCUUUGUAACCCAGUGUCUUUGCACUUAGACGAUGUUCAGGACAUGUACUUUGAACUGCAGUUUCUUUUUUUUUUUUUUUUGAGAUGGAGUUUCACUCUCAUUACCCAGGCUGGAGUGCAAUGGCGUGAUCUCGGCUCACCGUAACCUCCGCCUCCUGGGUUCAGGCAAUUCUCCUGCCUCAGCCUCCUGAGUACUGGGAUUACAGGCAGGCGCCACCAUGCCCAGCCAAUUUUUUGUAUUUCUAGUAGAGACGGGGUUUCAUUUUUUAAAUAUCUCACUUGUGUUUUCUCUUCUGAACAUAAGGCAUAAGUAUGUAUGUUUGUGUGAAUGUUUCUAGGGUGUGUGUGUGUGUGUGUGUGUGUGUGUGUGUGUGUAUGUGUAUACAUUUUCUUUCAGAUGGCCAUUUAAUUUAUUUCUUUGCUCUAGUGGCGUUUAAAUAAUCCUUGAUAAUUACUAGUGCUUCUAAGGUGCUAUAUGCUCUGGUUUUCCUGGACAAAGUCGGUGACCCUUGUCACUUGUGGUACCAUAAGAAAAAGGUCAUCUUCCCUCUUUUUAUCAGAACUGAGUCAGUUGUAACAAGAACUGCUUUUGAAACAUUAGCAUUUUAAGGCUUGCCUUGUGGUAGACAUUAAUUCUAAGUCAUUCUGUCUCAGCUGUGUUGCUUUUUAAAAAUAUAGUUAUCUCAAAUGGAUUGCUUCUGGUUUUGAUAUUAACAAAUAUUUUUUGAGCAUUAAUUGCCUCACAAUAUUGUGAAGGGUUCCCCAAUAAAUCAGAUCCAGCCUUUGCUUCCAACAAGUUGAACAGUCUCAAUAGAGUCUCAGAUCUCACUGUAGACCAAACUUUACACACUAGGCUAAGUUGACUCAAGGAUGACUGGGUUUUGUAUCUUUCCCAUAUGUUGGUGUUCAGCACUCUGUGGGUGCUUAAUAAAUGCCCAGGAGAAGACUUUUGCAUCAGAUGCAUAUAGCAAUUCCAUGCAGCAGCCAAACCUCACACUUGGCCAUUUGAGAUUCCAGUGUAGCCUGGUUUUGCUGUUGUACAAUUCUCCUGAACAAAGGAAAUCUCUGUUUUGUUAAAGAGCAGUGGGAUUGGUAGAGAUGAACUUGGCUCCCAAGAUCCGAAAUUCAAGUGGGAAAUGUGGGAUGGUGACUGAUGGGCAAGAGGACCAAGACAUGAGCAGAAAAGUAGGCAGAAGAAGUUCAUAGGAAAGGACUGGAAUUUAGGGCUGCCAGGAAGAUGAACGAAUCACAUGUGGUAGAGACUUUAUGCUGUUGCUCAUAGCCAAGCCAUCCAUUCAUUCAUUCAUUCAUUCAUUCAUUCAUUCAUUCAUACUAUAUAUGUGGAGUUUCUACUAUUUGCCAGUUACUCUUGGAGAAACAGCAGCAAACAAGCAAAAUCCCUGAGGUCAAAAAAAGUUUUCUCACAGUGGGGAGGCGCAAAAUAAAAGUAAGUUAGAUAUUUAGUAUGAGAGAUGUUGCUAAAUUCUCUGGGAAAAAACAAAGCAAGGAGAAAGAGUAAGGAGUGCUAGCCUGGAUGAGGGGGUUUCAGGAGAAGCUGCCAAUCAAGACCUCACUUAGGAGGGGCCAUGUGAGUGAAGA